RNAcentral lists this transfer RNA (76 nucleotides) under Syntrophobacterales bacterium. RNAcentral describes it as "tRNA-Ala". It matches the Rfam family "tRNA". Rfam says of the family: Transfer RNA (tRNA) molecules are approximately 80 nucleotides in length. Their secondary structure includes four short double-helical elements and three loops (D, anti-codon, and T loops). Further hydrogen bonds mediate the characteristic L-shaped molecular structure. tRNAs have two regions of fundamental functional importance: the anti-codon, which is responsible for specific mRNA codon recognition, and the 3' end, to which the tRNAs corresponding amino acid is attached (by aminoacyl-tRNA synthetases). tRNAs cope with the degeneracy of the genetic code in two manners: having more than one tRNA (with a specific anti-codon) for a particular amino acid; and 'wobble' base-pairing, i.e. permitting non-standard base-pairing at the 3rd anti-codon position. The record is from RNAcentral. Lineage: Bacteria; Pseudomonadati; Thermodesulfobacteriota; Syntrophobacteria; Syntrophobacterales. RNAcentral also lists the same sequence under 1 other name.
GGGGAUGUAGCUCAACUGGGAGAGCGUCGCGUUCGCAAUGCGAAGGUCAGGGGUUCGAGCCCCCUCAUCUCCACCA